RNAcentral lists this ribosomal RNA (387 nucleotides) under Streptococcus suis. RNAcentral describes it as "bacterial SSU rRNA". It matches the Rfam family "Bacterial small subunit ribosomal RNA", at positions 1156 to 1533 of the family's 1533-position model. Lineage: Bacteria; Bacillati; Bacillota; Bacilli; Lactobacillales; Streptococcaceae. The record is from RNAcentral.
UAAUAAACCGGAGGAAGGUGGGGAUGACGUCAAAUCAUCAUGCCCCUUAUGACCUGGGCUACACACGUGCUACAAUGGCUGGUACAACGAGUCGCAAGUCGGUGACGGCAAGCUAAUCUCUUAAAGCCAGUCUCAGUUCGGAUUGUAGGCUGCAACUCGCCUACAUGAAGUCGGAAUCGCUAGUAAUCGCGGAUCAGCACGCCGCGGUGAAUACGUUCCCGGGCCUUGUACACACCGCCCGUCACACCACGAGAGUUUGUAACACCCGAAGUCGGUGAGGUAACCAUUUAGGAGCCAGCCGCCUAAGGUGGGAUAGAUGAUUGGGGUGAAGUCGUAACAAGGUAGCCGUAUCGGAAGGUGCGGCUGGAUCACCUCCUUUCUAAGGAA